UCAGGGUGAACGCUGGCGGCGUGCUUGACACAUGCAAGUCGAACGGUAUGUGGCAACACAUAGAGUGGCGAACGGGUGAGUAACACGUGGGAACGUACCAUCUGCAGGGGGAUAACUGACCGAAAGGACAGCUAAUACCGCAUAAGUCCGGAAGGAGAAAGGUGCAAUAGCAUCGGCAGAAGAGCGGCCCGCGGUCCAUCAGCUAGUUGGUGAGGUAAGGGCUUACCAAGGCGACGACGGAUAGCCGGCGUGAGAGCGUGGCCGGCCACAAGGACACUGAGAUACGGGUCCUACUCCUACGGGAGGCAGCAGUGCGGAAUUUUAGAUAAUGGAGGGAACUCUGAUCUAGCGACGCCGCGUGCAGGAAAAGAAGGUCUUCGGAUUGUAAACUGCUGUGGUAAGGGAAAAAUGCUAUGUAGAGUGGAAAGCUACAUAGAGGGAUGGUACCUAACUAGAAAGCCCCGGCUAACUACGUGCCAGCAGCCGC
This 487-nucleotide ribosomal RNA is filed under the name uncultured bacterium. RNAcentral describes it as "bacterial SSU rRNA". It matches the Rfam family "Bacterial small subunit ribosomal RNA", at positions 24 to 518 of the family's 1533-position model. The record is from RNAcentral.